UCGCACGGUUUAAUACGCCGUGUGGAUGACGGUACCUGCAGAAUAAGCACCGGCUAACUACGUGCCAGCAGCCGCGGUAAUACGUAGGGUGCAAGCGUUAAUCGGAAUUACUGGGCGUAAAGCGUGCGCAGGCGGUUCGGAAAGAAAGAUGUGAAAUCCCAGGGCUUAACCUUGGAACUGCAUUUUUAACUCCCGAGCUAGAGUAUGUCAGAGGGGGGUGGAAUUCCGCGUGUAGCAGUGAAAUGCGUAGAUAUGCGGAGGAACACCGAUGGCGAAGGCAGCCCCCUGGGAUAAUACUGACGCUCAUGCACGAAAGCGUGGGGAGC
This 326-nucleotide ribosomal RNA is filed under the name uncultured beta proteobacterium. RNAcentral's name for it is "bacterial SSU rRNA". It matches the Rfam family "Bacterial small subunit ribosomal RNA", at positions 450 to 769 of the family's 1533-position model. Lineage: Bacteria; Pseudomonadati; Pseudomonadota; Betaproteobacteria. The record is from RNAcentral.